Molecule: transfer RNA, 73 nt
Filed under: Bacillus halotolerans
Lineage: Bacteria; Bacillati; Bacillota; Bacilli; Caryophanales; Bacillaceae
Also listed under: 1 other name
Description: tRNA-Ala
Rfam family: tRNA
About the family: Transfer RNA (tRNA) molecules are approximately 80 nucleotides in length. Their secondary structure includes four short double-helical elements and three loops (D, anti-codon, and T loops).
Source: RNAcentral
CGGGCCAUAGCUCAGCUGGGAGAGCGCUACGCUGGCAGCGUAGAGGUCAGGGGUUCGAGCCCCCUUGGCUCCA